RNAcentral lists this ribosomal RNA (433 nucleotides) under uncultured bacterium. RNAcentral's name for it is "partial 16S ribosomal RNA". It matches the Rfam family "Bacterial small subunit ribosomal RNA", at positions 29 to 507 of the family's 1533-position model. The record is from RNAcentral.
AACGAACGCUGGCGGCAUGCUUAACACAUGCAAGUCGAACGAUGCCUCCGGGCAUUGUGGCGCACGGGUGCGUAACGCGUGGGAAUCUGCCCUUGGGUUCGGAAUCAUUCGCUGAAGGGCGAGUUAAUACCGGUUGGUGAAGUAAGUCCAAAGAUUUCUCGCCCAAGGAUGGGGCCGCGUAGGAUUCGCUGGUUGGUGGGGUAAAGGCACGUCAAGGCGUCGAUGCUUAGCUGGUCGGAGCGUAUGAUUAGCCACGCUGGAACUGCGACACGGCCCAGACCGGGACGGAAGGCAGCAGUAGAGAAUAUAAUACAAUGAACGAAAACCUAGUCCAGCAAUGCCGCGGAUGAGAUGAAGGCGGUAGUAUUGUAAAUCUCUUUGACACGAGAUGAUAAUGACAGUACCGGGAGAAGAAGCUCCGGCUAACUACGUG